This 622-nucleotide long non-coding RNA is filed under the name Mus caroli (Ryukyu mouse). Its description in RNAcentral is "lncRNA (MGP_CAROLIEiJ_G0004710.1)". The record is from RNAcentral. Lineage: Eukaryota; Metazoa; Chordata; Mammalia; Rodentia; Muridae.
CCUCAUCUUCUCUAUGAAGUUAGGAACUUGACUUAAUAACAUUCCAGUGAUGUAGAAUGCUACUCCUCUCCUUCCCUCCUCACAAAACCAUCUCUAAACUCCUGAACUACUGCCCACAAAGUCCCCAAUGGUCCCUCACAGUGCUGGACUGGUUGGUGGAUUAUAUUGGUGGAUUUUAGUAUACUGAACCAUCCCUACAUCCCUGGGAAGAAGUCCCAUAGUUCAUAGUUCAUGAUGCAUUCAUCAACUUAUGAGGUUCCAAGCAGUUGAUGUAAGGUGGAAAGUCUUAAGUUGGAUGAAAUGAUUCAGCCAUCCACAUCACAGAACUACAGCUGGGCCACACUCUGAGGCUGGAGAAAGUGAUUCCAGCAAUCAAGAUGGAUUUUUUUUUUUCUGUAAAGUAUCAGCUCUCAUUCCCUGAACAGAUGCUCUACAAACAUAUAAACAUCUCUUCUAUAAACAGACAGUACUUCUGUGGAAAUUGAGAGGAAGAAUUUAAUUACAGCUUGGAGCCAACCCUGUGCACCACAAGGAGUCCUGCCUGCAUUUGAAAAAUGCACAUUCCUCUCCCAUACACUCUGCUACAAAAUGUCUCAUUUGGCCAACAGACAGCAAGCACAUG